GAUGAACGCUGGCGGCGUGCCUAACACAUGCAAGUCGAGCGAGACGGCUUAGAAUGAUCCUUCGGGAGAAUGAUAAGCUAGACAGCGGCGGACGGGUGAGUAACGCGUGGAUAACCUGCCUUAUACUGGGGGAUAACGUUUUGAAAAGAACGCUAAUACCGCAUAAGCGCACAGGACCGCAUGGUCUGGUGUGAAAAACUCCGGUGGUAUAAGAUGGAUCCGCGUCAGAUUAGCUAGUUGGUGAGAUAAAAGCUCACCAAGGCAACGAUCUGUAGCCGACCUGAGAGGGUGAUCGGCCACAUUGGGACUGAGACACGGCCCAAACUCCUACGGGAGGCAGCAGUGGGGAAUAUUGCACAAUGGGGGAAACCCUGAUGCAGCGACGCCGCGUGAAGGAUGAAGGUUUUCGGAUCGUAAACUUCUAUCAGCAGGGAAGAUAGUGACUGUACCUGACUAAGAAGCCCCGGCUAACUACGUGCCAGCAGCCGCGGUAAUACGUAGGGGGCAAGCGUUAUCCGGAAUUACUGGGUGUAAAGGGUGCGUAGGCGGUUUAUUAAGUCAGAUGUGAAAGCCCGAGGCUCAACCUCGGGACUGCAUUUGAAACUGGUAAACUAGAAUACAGGAGAGGUAAGUGGAAUUCCUAGUGUAGCGGUGAAAUGCGUAGAUAUUAGGAGGAACACCAGUGGCGAAGGCGACUUACUGGACUGUUAUUGACGCUGAGGCACGAAAGCGUGGGGAGCAAACAGGAUUAGAUACCUGGCAGUCCACGCCGUAAACGAUGAAUACUAGGUGUCGGGAGUCGAAUCUC
Molecule: ribosomal RNA, 808 nt
Filed under: uncultured bacterium
Lineage: Bacteria
Description: bacterial SSU rRNA
Rfam family: Bacterial small subunit ribosomal RNA
Source: RNAcentral